RNAcentral lists this ribosomal RNA (459 nucleotides) under uncultured bacterium. Its description in RNAcentral is "bacterial SSU rRNA". It matches the Rfam family "Bacterial small subunit ribosomal RNA", at positions 28 to 507 of the family's 1533-position model. The record is from RNAcentral.
GACGAACGCUGGCGGCGUGCCUAACACAUGCAAGUCGAACGGGGUAAUCCUUCGGGGUUACUUAGUGGCGAACGGGUGAGUAACGCGUGAAGAACCUGCCUUUCAGUGGGGGACAACAGUUGGAAACGACUGCUAAUACCGCAUAAUGUUAUUUGAGGGCAUCCUCGGAUAACCAAAGCUUUAUGUGCUGAAAGAUGGCUUCGCGUCUGAUUAGCUAGUUGGUGAGGUAACGGCUCACCAAGGCGACGAUCAGUAGCCGGACUGAGAGGUUGAACGGCCACAUUGGGACUGAGACACGGCCCAGACUCCUACGGGAGGCAGCAGUGAGGAAUAUUGGGCAAUGGGCGCAAGCCUGACCCAGCAAUGCCGCGUGAAGGAAGACGGUUUUCGGAUUGUAAACUUCUUUUAAGAGGGACGAUAAUGACGGUACCUCUUGAAUAAGCCACGGCUAACUACGUG